GUUUCCGUAUUGUAGUGGUUAUCACGUUCGCCUCACACGCGAAAGGUCCCCAGUUCGAAACUGGGCGGAAACA
RNAcentral lists this transfer RNA (73 nucleotides) under Danio rerio (zebrafish). Its description in RNAcentral is "tRNA-Val (CAC) (tRNA-Val-CAC-30-1)". It matches the Rfam family "tRNA". From Rfam's summary of the family: Transfer RNA (tRNA) molecules are approximately 80 nucleotides in length. Their secondary structure includes four short double-helical elements and three loops (D, anti-codon, and T loops). The record is from Rfam by way of RNAcentral. Lineage: Eukaryota; Metazoa; Chordata; Actinopteri; Cypriniformes; Danionidae.